This is a non-coding RNA of Chrysemys picta bellii (western painted turtle), 1444 nucleotides long. The record is from RefSeq and is a predicted model, not a curated record. NCBI's taxonomy places the organism in Eukaryota, Metazoa, Chordata, Testudines, Emydidae.
CUGGAGGGAGCCGGGGAGAUUGGCGGUGGUGGCGACUCGUGGCAGCUGCCUGCAAAGCACGGGGGUGGGGGCGCCUGUCCCCUCGUGCGCUCGCCGGUGGGGUCUGCCUGGCACGGCUCGCGACCCCUGAGCAGCCCGGCCAGCCUGCAUGGAAGACAGUCAGUGUGGGUGACGGCUCGGAUCACCCAGCUCCCCGGGCAGUGGUUUCCACUUUCCCCCUGCACGGGGUGACAGAUGGCGAGCCUGGCACCUGUACUGCAAACGGGUGGCAGAGGAGAGAAGAGCCUUGUUGUGGCACCGAUUGCGGUACUGGGGAGGUUGCUCUGAGGUCUUUCUCAGUAGGAGAGAUGAGCCUUGCCCAGGAGGCAGCAGGCAUCGGUGUGUCUAGCGUUAUCUUUGUUACCGGUCAGACCUUUCAGACUAGACAACAAACCUGCCUGGAAUCCCAAACAUGCUUGUUGGGAUUACGGACCAGAUUCUUGUUUCAGCUGUUAACCUCGUGCGUAUGAGUAACUGCGCUGCAUCGAGCCAGUGGAUUUACAGCAAUGUAUCAGCGCAGAAUUUAACCUCUAUAUUUAGUCAUUGAGGGAAAGUAGAUCAUUAUUCAUUAAACCGUCAAUGAAGUAAUUGCAAGCUCAAGAGAGUUGCAGUGAUUUUCUUUGCAUAUUCCGGAGUAACUGGUUUUAACAUAAAAUGUGGGGCUUGAAGUUCGCCUAUUGAAACUUUUCCUGUUAUCACAAAACCAAAGGAUGUGAGAGUGGAUUGUAUGUAAAGAUGAUGAAAGCUAAAUUAUUACCUUUUUAUUUUGUUAUAUUUAUCUGAGGUUGCUUGUUUCUUAUCAGUCUUUUGGAAAACUCAACUCUUUGUCUAGAUUCUCUUAUAUACCAGUUAACGUGACUGGACUACACUUCCUGUCAUCUAGCAAGUGGACCAGAAGAUUUUCAAAGAGAGCCACAUAAUUCCCACUGACCACAGAAAGUUGAAAAAUUCCUCUUUCUAAAUGUGGAGGUUAUGAUUCAAGUUAAUUUUAACAUUCAAAUGAGCAGUUGAGGCCUUUGAGGUAUGCCCAUCACUGAUCAAUACCCUUACCGGUAGGAGAAAGGUAUUAUAGGAGAAAGGAAAAUAAAUGGGAUCAGGAGUUUGUUGCAAAAAAUCUUAAAACACAAAAAACAAGGUCAUUUAGUACAUGACUCAGGGACCAACACAGGAUAUCGAAAUAUAGUUCUGUAUUAUCCAUUGUUUUGCCCAGUCUCAUUGUAAUUGCCCCAAGUACGUGGUUUCCACCAUUUCACUUGCGAAACUACUCUGUAAUCUACUAGAUCUUAGGUACGAAUUUUUCGUCCUUUUCACCAACACCACCAAAGAAAAAAGGCUUGUUUUUAUUCUACCAUCUCCCACCCUCCACUGUUAGUCUACAACACUACAAUUAAAAGCAAUCCUGUUA